This 72-nucleotide transfer RNA is filed under the name Bos taurus (domestic cattle). It matches the Rfam family "tRNA". Rfam says of the family: Transfer RNA (tRNA) molecules are approximately 80 nucleotides in length. Their secondary structure includes four short double-helical elements and three loops (D, anti-codon, and T loops). RNAcentral also lists the same sequence under 4 other names. The record is from Rfam by way of RNAcentral. Lineage: Eukaryota; Metazoa; Chordata; Mammalia; Artiodactyla; Bovidae.
UCCCUGGUGGUCUGGUAGUUAAGACUCAGCACUUUCACUGCUGAGGCCAGGGUCCAAUCCCUGGUCAGGGAA